AUUGAACGCUGGCGGCAUGCUUUACACAUGCAAGUCGAACGGUAACAGGCCUUCGGGUGCUGACGAGUGGCGAACGGGUGAGUAAUGCAUCGGAACGUGCCCAGAGGUGGGGGAUAACGCAGCGAAAGCUGUGCUAAUACCGCAUGUGAUCUGAGGAUGAAAGCGGGGGACCAGGCAGCAAUGUUUGGCCUCGCGCUUUUGGAGCGGCCGAUGUCAGAUUAGGUAGUUGGUGGGGUAAAGGCCUACCAAGCCGACGAUCUGUAGCUGGUCUGAGAGGACGACCAGCCACACUGGGACUGAGACACGGCCCAGACUCCUACGGGAGGCAGCAGUGGGGAAUUUUGGACAAUGGGCGCAAGCCUGAUCCAGCAAUGCCGCGUGCGGGAAGAAGGCCUUCGGGUUGUAAACCGCUUUUGUACGGAACGAAAAGGCUCUGGCUAAUACCUGGGGCUGAUGACGGUACCGUAAGAAUAAGCACCGGCUAACUACGUG
RNAcentral lists this ribosomal RNA (492 nucleotides) under uncultured bacterium. Its description in RNAcentral is "partial 16S ribosomal RNA". It matches the Rfam family "Bacterial small subunit ribosomal RNA", at positions 30 to 507 of the family's 1533-position model. The record is from RNAcentral.